Molecule: long non-coding RNA, 436 nt
Organism: Fundulus heteroclitus (mummichog)
Lineage: Eukaryota; Metazoa; Chordata; Actinopteri; Cyprinodontiformes; Fundulidae
Exons: 3
Source: RefSeq, a predicted model, not a curated record
AUGAUUUAAGCAUAACAUUAACAGUAAAUGACUGCUGUCAUUGAAAUGAUGCUACUUUGUCUUCUAACGGUGAGACAGCAGCUAUAGCAUUAAGUGAAUGCUAUGAUAGCAAUGAAUAAUGAAAGCUAUGCCCAAGGAGAACAAUUAAACAUUUUUAACAAAAUCUUUCAUAUCUCUCCUCAGGAUCAUUGCUUAAAUUUCUAACAAAACAGACGGAUAAAGUGCCCCUACCAAAUGCUGAUGAAAACCUUCCAGCAACAUCCACAUCCAGUGGGAUAGUGGCCACUCAACCUGUUGGUUGUCAUGAAGAGCAGGAAGAGACACCAGAGGCACAUCGAGCACCCAUUCCAAGUUAUGAUACUGAUGACUUUCCAGCAACAUCCACCUGCAGUGGGAUAGUGGCCACUCACCUGUUGGUUGUCGUGAUGAGCAGGAA